AUAUGAAGUUACAUCAUAAUUUAAUAGAACUUGUUACUUGUAAGCUGUCCAUCACAGUGAAAGCAAGUGUGAUGUUUUAUAAGCCAGCGACAUGAGAUAACAUCAGCAUUCAUAUAAAUAUGUGCAGGUGAAGUAAUGGUAGAUAUUGUCCUGGUUAAAGGUGUGUGCAGACACAGCUUGAAUGCAAGUGUCUCUCUGCUUUUGUCCUCCUGAAACAGCCAACAACACUGACUGUUGCAGUGCUGUUUCACACAUGCUCUGUGACAUUUUUCUGCUGCUACAUUUUACGCUGUGACUGUGAACAGGUUUGUAGAAAAAGUAUUAUUAAGAGAAACCAUUCUCAUCAUAAAACAGUCAGGGGACACUCAUUAAUCAAUCCAAAGAGACUUUAUUUAUGAUAUUUUUGAAAAGUGCAAUGAUAAGAUCAGUGUUGAGAUUGUAGACAUCACAAUAUUGUUAAUAUUAGUCCCCUGAUCACACGCUUGGAUGAUACACAUACAAACAACAUCUCAGGGAGGAAAACAUCAAACAUGUCUGAUCUGAACCCCCCCCCCCCCCUAAAACUACAAUAAAUAAGAAUUCAAAUAUGCUUUACAACCUGGUUACUUAAUAAUUUCAAAACUUCACAUGUACUUUGGUUUAUUACUUCAUUUUCAGGAUGUGAACUUAAAAAUGUUACAAAUAUGAGCUGAGUACAUGUGACAUCAGAACCAGAACUAAUGUAAGGAAGCUGAUGUUGUUCACCAUGGCAGAGGAAGUGGUUCUUGCAGUAGUUCUGGUUGUUGUUGGGGUUGUUGUUGGGGUGGUUGCUGAGGUUGUUCUGGUGGUUGUACUUGUUGUUGGGGUAGUUGAAGUUGUUGUUGGGGUGGUUGCUGAGGUUGUUGUAGUGGUUGUACUUGUUGUUGGGGCAGUUGAGGUUGUUGUUGGGGUCGUUGCUGAUGUCGUUGUAGUGGUUGUAGUUGUUGGGGUAGUUGUGCUUGUUGUUGGGGUAGUUGCUGAGGUUUUUGUAGUGGUUGUACUUGUGGUUGGGAUACUUGAGGUUGUUGUAGGGGUAGUUGUUGAUGUUGUUGUAGUUGCUGUGGUUGUGGUUGUUGUUGGGGUAGUUGCUGAUGUCGUUGUAGUGGUUGUAGUUGUUGGGGUAGUUGUGCUUGUUCUUUGGGUAGUUGCUGAUGUUUUUGUAGUGGUUGUACUUGUUGUUGGGGUAGUUGAGGUUGUUGUAGUGGUUGUACUUGUUGUUGGGGCAGUUGAGGUUGUUGUUGGGGUCGUUGCUGAUGUCGUUGUAGUGGUUGUAGUUGUUGGGGUAGUUGUGCUUGUUGUUGGGGUAGUUGCUGAGGUUUUUGUAGUGGUUGUACUUGUGGUUGGGAUACUUGAGGUUGUUGUAGGGGUAGUUGUUGAUGUUGUUGUAGUUGCUGUGGUUGUGGUUGUUGUUGGGGUAGUUGCUGAUGUCGUUGUAGUGGUUGUAGUUGUUGUUGGGGUAGUUGUGCUUGUUCUUUGGGUAGUUGCUGAUGUUUUUGUAGUGGUUGUACUUGUUGUUGGGGUAGUUGAGGUUGUUGUUCGGGUCGUUGCUGAUGUCGUUGUAGUGGUUGUAGUUGUUGGGGUAGUUGUGCUUGUUGUUGGGGUAGUUGCUGAGGUUUUUGUAGUGGUUGUACUUGUUGUUGGGAUACUUGAGGUUGUUGUAGGGGUAGUUAUAGAUGUUGUUGUACUGGCUGUGGUUGUUGUUGGGGUAGUUGAGGUUGCUGUUGGAGCAGCUGUGGUUGUUGUUGGGGCAGCUGUUGUAGUUGUGGUUGAGGUUGUUGUCACCACAGCUGUAGUUGUUGUAGUUGGGGCUGCAAUUGUAGAUGUUGUUGGGGCAGCUGUUGUGGUCCUUGUAGGGGCAGCAGUCGUGGUUGUUGGGGCUGCUGUUGUGGUUGUUGUUGGGGCACCUGUUGUGGUUGUAGUUGGUGCGGCUGUUGUGCUUGUUAAAGCAGCUGUGCUCGUGGCUGCAGUUGUGGUUGUUAAUGGGGAUGCUGUAGUUGUCGUUGUUGGGGCAGUUGUUGUGGUUGUUGUUGGGGCUGCAGUUGUAGUUGUUGGCACAGCUGUUGUGGUUGUAGUUUGGAAAGUUGUCGUGGUUGUUGUUGGUGUAGCUGUAGUAGUUGUUUUUGGGACUGAAGUUGUUGUGGUUGUUGUUUGGGCACCUGUAGUUGUUGAUGUGGGGGUGGUUGUUGUGGUUGUUGUUGGUGCUGCAGAUAUGGUUGUUGUUGGAGCAGGUGUAGUUGUUGUUGUUGGGCUAGCUGUUGUGGUUGUGGUUGUUUGAGAAGCUGUGGUUGUCACUGUAGUUGUAAUUGUUGUUGGUGAAACAGUUGUGGUUGUUGUGGUUGUUGUUGGUGAAGCUGUACUAGUUGUUGUUGGUACAGCAGUUGUUGUGGUUGUUGUUGGGGCAGCAGUAGUUGUUGUUGUUGGGGCAUCUGUUGUGGUUGUUGUUGGGCCUGGUGUUGUAGUUGUUGGUGCAGCAGUUGUGGUUGUUGUUUGGGCAGCUGUAGUUGUUGGCGCAGCAGUUGUGGUUGUUGAGGUUGUUGUUGGUGCAGCUGUAGUAGUUGUUGUUGGGACUGCAGUUGUUGUGGUUGUUGAUGGGGCAGCUGUAGUUGUUGUUGUUGUGGUUGGUGGCGCAGCUGUAGUUGUUGUUGUUGGGGCAGCUGUAGUUGUUGUUGUUGGUGCACCUGUAGUAGUUGUUGUUGUGAAUGUAGUUGUUGUGCUUGUUGUUGGGGCAGCAGUUGUAGUUGUUGGCACAUCAGUUAUGGAUGUUGUUUGGGCUACUGUAGCAGCAGUUGUUGGGGCAGCUGUUGUGGUUGGGGCAGCUGUAGUUGUUUUUGGGGUGGCUGUUGUGGUUGUUGUUGGGCCUGGCGUUGUAGUUGUUGGCGCAGCAGUUGUGGUUGUUGUUGGGGCAGCUGUAGUUGUUGUUGUUGGAGCUGCAGUUGUUGUUGUUGGCGCUGCAGUUGUGGUUGUUGUCGGUGCAGCUGUAAUUGUUGUUGUUGUGACUGCAAUUGUUGUUGUUGGGGCAGCGGUUGUGGUUGUUGUUGGGGCAGCUGUAGUUGUUGUUGUGUGGGCGCUUGUUGUGGUUUUUGUUGGAGCUGCAGUUGUGGUUGUUGGGGCGGCUGUUGUGGUUGUUGUUGGGGCAGCUGUAGUUGUUGUUGUUGGGGCGGCUGUUGUGGUUGUUGUUGGGGCAGCUGUAGUUGUUGUUGUUGGGGCGGCAGUUGUGGUUGUUGUUGGGGCAGCUGUAGUUGUUGUUGUUGGGGCUGCAGUAGUUGUUGUUGGGGCAGCUGUAGUCGUUGUUGGGGCGGCUGUUGUUGUUGUAGGGGCAGUUGUAGCAGUUGUUGGGGCAGCUGUAGUUGUUGUUGUUGUUGGGGCUGUAGUUGUUGUUGUUGGGGCAGCUGUAGCAGUUGUGGUUGUUGUUGGGGCAGCUGUAGUUGUUGUUGUUGGGGCUGCAGUUGUGGUUGUUGGGGCAGCUGUAGUUGUUGUUGUUGGAGCUGCAGUUGUGGUUGUUGGAGCAGCAGUUGUGGUUGUUGUUGGGGCAGCUGUAGUUGUUGUUGUUGUUGGGGCGGCUGUUGUGGUUGUUGUUGGGGCAGCUGUAGUUGUUGUUGUCUGGGCUGUUGUUGUGGUUGUUGUUGUGGCGGCUGUAGUCGUUGUUGUUGGGGCGGCAGUUGUGGUUGUUGUUGGCGCAGCAGCUGUAGUCGUUGUUGGGGCAGCUGUAGUUGUUGUUGUUGGGGCAGCUGUAGUUGUUGUUGUUGGAGCAGCUGUAGUUGUUGUUGUUGGAACUGCAGUUGUGGUUGUUGGAGCAGCAGUUGUGGUUGUUGUUGGGGCAGAUGUAGUUGUUGUUGUUGGGGGAGCAGUUGUGGUUGUUGGGGCAGCUGUAGCAGUUGUUGUUGGGGCUGCAGUAGUUGUUGUUGUUAGGGCAGCAGUUGUGGUUGUUGUUGGGGCAGCUGCAGUUGUUGUUGUUGGGGCGGCUGUUGUGGUUGUUGUUGGGGCAGCUGUAGUUGUUGUUGUUGGGGCAGCAGUAGCUGUAGUUGUUGUUGUUGUUGUUGUUGGCGCAGCAGUUGUGGUUGUUGUUGGGGCAGCAGUUGUGGUUGUUGUUGGGGCAGCUGUUGUGGUUGUUGUUGGGGCAGCUGUAGUUGUUGUUGUUGUGGCGGCAGUUGUGGUUGUUGUUGGGGCGGCAGUUGUUGUUGUUGUUGGGGCAGCAGUAGCUGUUGUUGUUGGGGCGGCUGUUGUGGCUGUUGUUGGGGCAGCUGUAGUUGUUGUUG
Long non-coding RNA from Astatotilapia calliptera (eastern happy), 4274 nucleotides. The record is from Ensembl. NCBI's taxonomy places the organism in Eukaryota, Metazoa, Chordata, Actinopteri, Cichliformes, Cichlidae.